RNAcentral lists this long non-coding RNA (2114 nucleotides) under Capsicum annuum. RNAcentral's name for it is "long non-coding RNA (CANN_LNC009218)". Lineage: Eukaryota; Viridiplantae; Streptophyta; Magnoliopsida; Solanales; Solanaceae. The record is from RNAcentral.
UUGAGAGGAAAGACAAGAAAAAGAGAGCACGAAGAAAGAAAAAGAAAGAAAUUUCUAAGAGGUUCAAUCUUUCAGUAGAAAUUUUGUUGAUUUUUUUAGAGAAUUCGUCGGCUAGGAAAGAGGCUCUGAGUUGACGACAAUAUUUUCUGGUGGUUGGAAUCCUAUCAUCAACUCGUCGUCCCAUUUUGAUGCCCAAAAAUCGGUCAGUGCUCGAUUUUUUCUUUGUUGUCGUGUUAUAAUAGUCGUAGCAGUAGAGUUUUGGUUUCGAUUAUUGCAUUGUAUGUUGUUCCUUUUUGUAGAGGUCUUAAAAGUUCAUAGAAUUGAUGAUGUUCUAAUAAUGUUAUAGUACUGCGUUGAUCAACUAUUUGAGCCCCUUUUGUUCAUUUGAAGGUAUGGCUUCAUAUUUCUGUAAGAGUGUAAGAGUGAGGGAUGUUGUUGUAUUUAUAAUUUUCUUUAUCAGUGUAAAAAUGUUGUUUGUUUUGAUCCAUCUUUUCUCGAGGUUGGUCGAUUUGAAUCUUUGUUUUCUUUUGUGAAAUGGUCCAAGUGGUGUUAUUCUUAUUCUCAGGAAUUUCCACUGAUUCAUCCUUUUGUCUUCGAAAGAGACUCGAAAGGGGUUGGAAUCAAGACUAAAAAUCAUUUUUUUUAUUUGUCUCCUGGUGAGUUAAACUUUUUUUUGUGGAUUAAUUCAAAUAUUAAUGUUCUUGUUCCUGAAAGUUUUCACCGGUUCAUCCUUUUAGCUUCGAAAGAGACUCGAAAGGGGUUGGAAUCAAGACUAAAUUUUUUUUUAUUUUAUCUCCUGAUGAGUUAAACUUUUUUUGUGGAUUGGUUCAAAUAUUAAUAAUCUUGUUCCUGAAAGUUUUCACUGGUUCAUCCUUUUGGCUUCGAAAGAGACUCGAAAGGGGUUGGAAUCAAGAUUAAAAUUAAUUUUUGAUCCAUCUUCGCACAAUUUGAAUCCUUUAAUGAAUUGGUUAAAACAUCGGUAGCUCUCACUGAUUCACCUUUUCAGUCUUAAAAAGACUUAAAGGGGUUAGAAUUGAGAUUAAAUCUACCUAUCUGACUCGUUUUUGCGAAUCUUUCCCCAAUUUCUUUUAAGAUAUCUGAUAGAUAACAUGUGCAUCCUACUAAGUUUGUAAUGUGCAGUUUAUCAUUAUAUAAAUGAUGUCAUUCAUUUUGAAUCAUAAGUCAUAACGUAUAUUGGCGCAAAUGAAAUUUCUUUUACUUUAAUGCUUCUGUAAGGGAAAUGGCCUUGAUAAAUUACUUCUUCACAAUAUUAUUUGAAUCCAUAUCUUGGGUGUAGUUUUCUAAGAGAACAUGCUAUAGUUAUUCUUUAGCUACUGCUGAAAGUUCUUUCCUGUUGUUCUCAUUGUGUUCCCGCAAUAGGUGAGAUAUGCAUUCGGGGUUAUAAUCAUUCCCUAAUACAUAGUAAGGGGGGCCAUACUUUCUUUCUUUUUUAGUAUUUGGUAUUUAGGUGGUACUUAAAGAAGCGGAUUUAUGUUAUAAGGUUAAUCCGAAUCUACAAGGUUAUGUCUUUUAGUGUGUUAUUUGGAGUAUCUAGCUCAUGGUAUUAUUAGACAUAUCACUUGUUGUUGUAUUGCUUGAAUUUUUCAUUUUGUCAUUAAUUUCUUUAACAUGUUAAUCCCUAAUUCGGAAUACUUAUUAACUCCUUCCUUGUUCUUUUUCUUUUUCCUUUGCAUGCACCCGCUUCGGAGUCUAAGAGUCUAUACGAACUCCUUCUCUCUUUGCAUUUCAUGAACGGGCCAAGGAGGCCUCUCCUCUGAGUCGAACCCCAAAGAAUGACUAAAAUGAAUUGCAUGACGUACGGAUAUAAGGAGUUGAAAGGAGAAGAAUGAGUUAAAGUUCCCUCGAAGCGUUUAAGAGACUUGAACGUCUCUUUGGUUUAUUUAUUCAUUCUGUGGUUGUAUUUAUUUAUUUAGUUUAUUAUUCAUUCGUUUGGGCCACGAAACCAAGUUUUUAUUUAGUACAGGUGGAUCGAGACUCAAUUCAAAGGCUCAAAAGCUAGAUUAGGAUAGGUGAAAUGGGUCGAAGGCCCAAUUAGACUAGUACGGGUCUUAUUGAUUUGGGCCCAAUGAUCUGAAUCCUUUACUUCCUCCCCU